GGGUCCGCACACACACAAACAUGAAAUUAAUAUUAAAAAGAAUUUCUAACUAAAAAAAAAUCAAAUCAUUAUUAAGCCGGGACCGUGAAGUCAAAUCUUAAUAAAUUAAAAAACGGGACAAGGUCAAGUCAAAAGUGACUCUCCGCAUAGCAAUAAUUGUACAGUGAUUUUUAUAAUUUCUAUAGAGUCCCAAAAGCUUAUAUAAUUUGAUUUCCAAAUAAUUUGUAACCCGCAGCUCUUAAAAUGAAAAAGAGAUAUUUUAUAUUGGAUUGCCAGCUUAAUUUUUUUUACCCUGAAAUUGAAGUCAAAGCAAAAUUAUAAUCAUGUCAUUCACAAGACAAAUUUCCUCUCGCCCACAUAUGAGAAGGAGAGUUGUGGAGAGUUUAUCGUGCUCUCAGCCGAUCUGAAACACUGCGAAAGAGCUGCUCACCUUGUAUGAGAAGAAUCAGUGGCAGAUCUUUGAAGGUUAGACUCUUCUGUAGAGGAUUAACUGCUAUAAGCUUGAUUAAGCCUUUGGCAUUGAAUGCGGAUGUCAUACCCGUCUUACCCAAGGUACGAUCGAUGCACAUUUAAUAUGAUAAAUAUGAAAUUAUUAGUGCUUAUACAUCACAUGGUGGAAAUAUGUCCCUUUUCAAGUAUCAAAAUACUGAGGCUCUAAAAUUUUCAAUAUUAUGUGAUGCGAAAUCUUUGAUCAACGAUGUAAUUUAAAAUCACAUGAUACUCAAAUAGUAUCAAAAACUUAAAUAAUAAAUACAUCAUCUCUAAUCAACCUACUAUCAAUUAAAUGAUAUGAACUAAGAUAAUUGAGAAGUUAAAAUAAUUAUAAAAACGGCACAAGAAUACCUUGAUGAUGAUGAGUUGAUUCAAUUCCUUAUUCAAUGAGAAGAUUGAAGAACACUUCACUUGUUGAAGAUAAAAUUUUUAAUUUUAUUAUCUUAAACUUGAAUGAUUACAACCAUGAAUUUGAAGACUUAUUUAUGGUUGUAGGUCAUUUGAAAUAUAAGAAAAUAAAUUUCAUAAAUUAAUUAUAAAAAUUACAUAGAA
This 1044-nucleotide long non-coding RNA is filed under the name Carica papaya (papaya). Its description in RNAcentral is "long non-coding RNA (CPAP_LNC004558)". Lineage: Eukaryota; Viridiplantae; Streptophyta; Magnoliopsida; Brassicales; Caricaceae. The record is from RNAcentral.